AUGCAUCUUGGAUUUCUCCAUUUUUGAAUUCAUGUCAUCCUGGACCCGUUCAGGAAAGUUCAUUGAUGGGUUGCCAAUUGCUUCAUUUGCUGCAGCACUUGUGUUUUUGAAGUGCUCUACCAAGCGCAGAAAUGUCACCUCCACUAUCGCACUGAGCGGAAGGCAUGUUAUCCCUUUCAAUACAGGGUCAUUCUUGUAUAUAUUUGAUAUAUCAGCGCCCAUGAUGCCGUACCUAGCUCCCUUUGUGUCAUGCACCAGUGA
RNAcentral lists this ribosomal RNA (261 nucleotides) under Triticum aestivum (bread wheat). RNAcentral describes it as "partial small subunit ribosomal RNA". The record is from RNAcentral. Lineage: Eukaryota; Viridiplantae; Streptophyta; Magnoliopsida; Poales; Poaceae.